AAUGUUGAACUUUCAAUUUUUUACUCAAAAUAAAUUACCAUGGAGACAUAUACUACUCUUUGAAACAAUGCAUUAAGGAUGAUAUAUUUUUGAUCCAACUAAAUAUAGAAAAUGUGGUGAAUGAAAAAUUAAGUCAAUUAUCAAAUUAAAAAUAAAAUAAAUAAGUAAUUUAAAAUGUAAUAAUAAAACUGAAGUUUUGUAUAAAAUACAUGUUUUUCCAACAA
This is a long non-coding RNA of Aphis gossypii (cotton aphid), 224 nucleotides long. RefSeq lists it as uncharacterized. The transcript has 2 exons. The record is from RefSeq and is a predicted model, not a curated record. NCBI's taxonomy places the organism in Eukaryota, Metazoa, Arthropoda, Insecta, Hemiptera, Aphididae.